This 477-nucleotide ribosomal RNA is filed under the name uncultured bacterium. RNAcentral's name for it is "partial 16S ribosomal RNA". It matches the Rfam family "Bacterial small subunit ribosomal RNA", at positions 28 to 507 of the family's 1533-position model. The record is from RNAcentral.
GAUGAACGCUGGCGGCGUGCCUAAUACAUGCAAGUCGAGCGAACAGACGAGGAGCUUGCUCCUCUGACGUUAGCGGCGGACGGGUGAGUAACACGUGGAUAACCUACCUAUAAGACUGGGAUAACUUCGGGAAACCGGAGCUAAUACCGGAUAAUAUAUUGAACCGCAUGGUUCAAUAGUGAAAGACGGUUUUGCUGUCACUUGUAGAUGGAUCCGCGCCGCAUUAGCUAGUUGGUAAGGUAGCGGCUUACCAAGGCUUCGAUGCGUAGCCGACCUGAGGGGGUGAGCGGCCACAUGGGGAAUGAGAGACGGACGAGACGCGUACGGGAGGGAGCAGUGGGGAAUAUUGCACAAUGGGCGGAAGGGUGAUGAAGCAACGCCGCGAGCGGGAUGACGGCCUUCGGGUUGUAAACCGCUUUCGCCGGUGACGAAGCGUGAGUGACGGUAAUGGGUAAAGAAGCAACGGCUAACUACGUG